This 644-nucleotide ribosomal RNA is filed under the name Pseudomonas sp. TAD019. RNAcentral's name for it is "bacterial SSU rRNA". It matches the Rfam family "Bacterial small subunit ribosomal RNA", at positions 60 to 699 of the family's 1533-position model. Lineage: Bacteria; Pseudomonadati; Pseudomonadota; Gammaproteobacteria; Pseudomonadales; Pseudomonadaceae. The record is from RNAcentral.
AGUCGAGCGGUAGAGAGGUGCUUGCACCUCUUGAGAGCGGCGGACGGGUGAGUAAUGCCUAGGAAUCUGCCUGGUAGUGGGGGAUAACGCUCGGAAACGGACGCUAAUACCGCAUACGUCCUACGGGAGAAAGCAGGGGACCUUCGGGCCUUGCGCUAUCAGAUGAGCCUAGGUCGGAUUAGCUAGUUGGUGGGGUAAUGGCUCACCAAGGCGACGAUCCGUAACUGGUCUGAGAGGAUGAUCAGUCACACUGGAACUGAGACACGGUCCAGACUCCUACGGGAGGCAGCAGUGGGGAAUAUUGGACAAUGGGCGAAAGCCUGAUCCAGCCAUGCCGCGUGUGUGAAGAAGGUCUUCGGAUUGUAAAGCACUUUAAGUUGGGAGGAAGGGCAUUAACCUAAUACGUUAGUGUUUUGACGUUACCGACAGAAUAAGCACCGGCUAACUCUGUGCCAGCAGCCGCGGUAAUACAGAGGGUGCAAGCGUUAAUCGGAAUUACUGGGCGUAAAGCGCGCGUAGGUGGUUCGUUAAGUUGGAUGUGAAAUCCCCGGGCUCAACCUGGGAACUGCAUUCAAAACUGUCGAGCUAGAGUAUGGUAGAGGGUGGUGGAAUUUCCUGUGUAGCGGUGAAAUGCGUAGAUAUAG